Molecule: ribosomal RNA, 519 nt
Filed under: Theropithecus gelada (gelada)
Lineage: Eukaryota; Metazoa; Chordata; Mammalia; Primates; Cercopithecidae
Description: partial 12S ribosomal RNA
Rfam family: Bacterial small subunit ribosomal RNA
Source: RNAcentral
ACUAUGCUUGGCCCUAAACCUCAAUAGUUAAAACAACAAAACUAUUCGCCAGAAUACUACGAGCAACAGCUUAAAACUCAAAGGACUUGGCGGUGCUUCAUACCCCCUAGAGGAGCCUGUUCUGUAAUCGAUAAACCCCGAUCCACCCCACCCUCUCUUGCUUAGUCUAUAUACCGCCAUCUUCAGCAAACCCUGAUGAAGGCCACAAAGUGAGCGCAAACGCCCUCCCCCGCAAAGACGUUAGGUCAAGGUGUAACCUAUGAGACGGUAAAAAAUGGGCUACAUUUUCUACUUCAGAAAACCCCACGAUAGCUCUUAUGAAAUCUAAGAGCCCAAGGAGGAUUUAGCAGUAAAUUAAGAAUAGAGUGCUUAAUUGAACUAGGCCAUAAAGCACGCACACACCGCCCGUCACUCCCCUCAAAUAUACUUGAGGAACACCUUAACUAAAUGCCCUAGCAUUUAUAUAGAGGGGAUAAGUCGUAACACGGUAAGUGUACUGGAAGGUGCACUUGGACAAAU